GUAACACCGAAGCCCAAGGGCACCUGAUUCACAUUUAGCGGAACCCACCUGACCUGCGCCCUGUGUGCCUGGGCGUGGCCAGCAGCCCAGACCUGUCGGUGUCUGGCCAGAAGGAGGUCGAGGGAGCCGCUGGCUUUAUCCCUAAACUGGAGAUGGGCACCUUUCCCCUCCCUCUGCUCCCCAGAGCCCCCAGGGUGGGCAAACCCAGCGCCCCAGGUAGACCAUUUGGCUGUGGUGAGCCUCUCGGAGAGGGAAGCAGCCGGGGGCCCCUCGUGCUGUGACGGGGAAGCCCACGUCCCAGACCAUCUGUCAUCAGGUCGUUUUGCUUCACUGUGUUCCUGACAUGAAGCUCUAAAGCAAAGAGCUUCCCAAUGAGGAGAGAGAAGGUUCUCGAGUCCUGCACAUGUCUUUUCCAGUAGUCAUGAGAGCUGGACCAUAAAGAAAGCUGAGUGCCGAAGAAUUGAUGCUUUUGAACUGUGGUGUUGGAUAAGACUCUUGAAAGUCCCUUGGACUGCAAGGAAAUCCAACCAGUCCAUCCUAAAGGAGAUCAGUCUUGGGUAUUCAUUGGAAGAACUGAUGCUGAGGCUGAAACUCCAAUACUUUGGCCACCUGAUGUGAAGAACUAACUCAUCUAAGAAGACCUUGGUGCUGGGAAAGAUUGAAGGUGGGAAGAGAAGAAGACGACAGAGGAUGAGAUGGCUGGAUGGCAUCACCGACUCAAUGGACGUGAGUUUGAGGGAGCUCCAGGAUCCUGAGCCAUCUGUUUGCCCUUCCUCAGGAAGAUGGGCAUCAUUCUGUAGCAGUUUGCUCAUAGGACUCAGAACGGUGCCUCAGCAGUAAAGAAUCCACCUGAAAUGCAGGAGACAGGGAUUUGAUCCCUGGGUUGGGAAGAUCCCUUGGAGGAGGAAAUGGCAACUUACUCCAGUAUAUCUUCUGGAAAAUUCCAUGGACAGAGGAGCCUGGUGGGCUACAGUCAUGGAGUUGCAAAGAGUCGGCAGGAC
Molecule: long non-coding RNA, 1001 nt
Organism: Bos taurus (domestic cattle)
Lineage: Eukaryota; Metazoa; Chordata; Mammalia; Artiodactyla; Bovidae
Source: Ensembl